UUAAGUUCAGCGGGUAUCCCUACCUGAUCCGAGGUCAAUCUUAGGAGAUGUUGGGGGGUUUGGAGGCAGGAAGCACGAGAGCGCUCUAAGCGGAAUGUAUUCUACUACGCUAGAGGCUCGGGGCCACCGCCGACACGUUUAGAGGCCGCCCCCGUGAAGGGACGGAGCCUCAAAGCCAAGCCAGAGGCUUGAUUGUCUUC
RNAcentral lists this unclassified non-coding RNA (200 nucleotides) under fungal sp. Its description in RNAcentral is "partial internal transcribed spacer 2". The record is from RNAcentral. Lineage: Eukaryota; Fungi.